Long non-coding RNA from Morone saxatilis (striped sea-bass), 739 nucleotides. RefSeq lists it as uncharacterized. The record is from RefSeq and is a predicted model, not a curated record. The transcript has 3 exons. NCBI's taxonomy places the organism in Eukaryota, Metazoa, Chordata, Actinopteri, Moronidae.
CCUGACAAACUGUCCCUCUCACUGAACGGUGAGGGAAACUCUGCUGAAUGGAGAGUGAGGUUUACUGAAACCAGCUCCCGGUCAUGUCGAUCCGACACACGAAGCUACCGGCAGAGUGAUGCAGUGAACAUCACUAUACAGAAUGAAUCUCAAGAUGUUGCGUAUUCUUCCACCGAACUUAAAAACAUUUGAAAAAGGAAGCAACAUGAACCAGAGAAGAGCUCUGUUUACGGCGAUGUGAAAACAGGAACUGCAAAUACAGUCAGUCCAAACAGUCAUGCUCAGUUUGUGUUGAAAUGUUUCAUAUCAUUACACAGGAGGUCAGUCAGAGUGGAGUUCAAUUAAUGUCAGUCACUGUGGGUAGCUACUACAUACUACCACUAGGUUUCACCAGACAAAUUCUACACAUGUAUGUGGGCCUUUUAGACUUUUUGAGUUUGUAUGUUUCAUAUACAGUGUGUGAUGACUGUUGAGGCAUAUUUCCAUUUACUAUUGAUACACUGUAUUAGUAUUUUUGUAUUAUAUUUUAUUUCAUUAGUUUUUACAAUUUUUGUAUGAUACUUUGAAUGGGAGCUGUCAACUGUUUGCAGUUGGAUUGGCCUUUAAUUUCCAGGUGUCGAGUAUGUCUGCCCUUUCCCUGUGUAUUUUAGAAAUAAAUGUAGGAUUUAUCACCCAAUCUGUGAACUUGAAAGGUGGCUGUUGAAAAAACAAAAAGUUGAGUUGUGAGAAUGUACUGUAA